Molecule: non-coding RNA, 48 nt
Filed under: Schistosoma mansoni
Lineage: Eukaryota; Metazoa; Platyhelminthes; Trematoda; Strigeidida; Schistosomatidae
Source: RNAcentral
AUCCAGCUGACGAGUCCUAAAUAGGACAAAAUAUCUCUAUUCCUGGAU